GCGGAAGUGCUGGAAUUGGCAGACAGGCAGCACUAAGGAUGCUGUGCUCCCUGAGCGUGUGGGUUCAAGUCCCAUCUUCCGCA
This 83-nucleotide transfer RNA is filed under the name Bacillota bacterium. RNAcentral describes it as "tRNA-Leu". It matches the Rfam family "tRNA". Rfam says of the family: Transfer RNA (tRNA) molecules are approximately 80 nucleotides in length. Their secondary structure includes four short double-helical elements and three loops (D, anti-codon, and T loops). Further hydrogen bonds mediate the characteristic L-shaped molecular structure. tRNAs have two regions of fundamental functional importance: the anti-codon, which is responsible for specific mRNA codon recognition, and the 3' end, to which the tRNAs corresponding amino acid is attached (by aminoacyl-tRNA synthetases). tRNAs cope with the degeneracy of the genetic code in two manners: having more than one tRNA (with a specific anti-codon) for a particular amino acid; and 'wobble' base-pairing, i.e. permitting non-standard base-pairing at the 3rd anti-codon position. Lineage: Bacteria; Bacillati; Bacillota. The record is from RNAcentral.